UUUACUUUUUAUCUUCAAUUUUUGACUCUUCGUCUUAUUUAAAAAAAUUUUGCGAUUAAUAUUUUUUUAUUAGAUGAUAAAUCAUGAAUAGUACUUUACGUGUGAUUAAUUUUUUCUAAUUUCCUAAAAAAAAUUUUAAAUAAGACGGACGGUCAAACGUUGGACACGGAAAUCGGAGAAUUCGCUUUCU
Molecule: non-coding RNA, 190 nt
Organism: Oryza brachyantha (malo sina)
Lineage: Eukaryota; Viridiplantae; Streptophyta; Magnoliopsida; Poales; Poaceae
Source: Rfam